GAUGAACGCUGGCGGCGUGCCUAAUACAUGCAAGUCGAGCGAACGGACGAGAAGCUUGCUUCUCUGAUGUUAGCGGCGGACGGGUGAGUAACACGUGGAUAACCUACCUAUAAGACGGGGAUAACUUCGGGAAACCGUAGCUAAUACCGGAUAAUAUUUUGAACCGCAUGGGUCAAAAGUGAAAGACGGUCUUGCUGUCACUUAUAGAUGGAUCCGCGCUGCAUUAGCUAGUUGGUAAGGUAACGGCUUACCAAGGCAACGAUGCAUAGCCGACCUGAGAGGGUGAUCGCCCACACUGGAGCUGAGCCGCGGUCCUGACUCCUACGGGAGGCCGCAGUAGGGAAUCUUCCGCAAUGGGCGAAAGCCUGACGGAGCAACGCCGCGUGAGUGAUGAAGGUCUUCGGAUCGUAAAACUCUGUUAUUAGGGAAGAACAUAUGUGUAAGUAACUGUGCACAUCUUGACGGUACCUAAUCAGAAAGCCACGGCUAACUACGUG
This 497-nucleotide ribosomal RNA is filed under the name uncultured bacterium. RNAcentral describes it as "partial 16S ribosomal RNA". It matches the Rfam family "Bacterial small subunit ribosomal RNA", at positions 28 to 507 of the family's 1533-position model. The record is from RNAcentral.